UUAUCAAAAACAUCGCUCUUUGAAACUUACAGAUAAAGAGUCGUGCCUGCCCAGUGAAUUUUUUUAACGGCCGCAGUACCCUGACUGUGCUAAGGUAGCAUAAUCACUUGUUUUUUAAUUGAAAGCUUGUAUGAAUGGCUUGACGCAGGUAAAGCUGUCUCUUUUAUAUUAAAUAAAAAUUAAUUUUUAAGUGCAGAAGCUUAAAUGAAACCAAAAGACGAAAAGACCCUAUCGAGCUUGAAAAUUAUAAUUAAAUUAAAUUUAUAGUAAAAUAAUUUUUAAUUAAUUUUUUUUGUUGGGGCGACAAAAGAACAAAUAAAGCUUCUUUUCAUUUUAUAAAUUUAUAAAUUUAUAGAUCCAUAAAUUAUGAUUAAAAGAAAAAGCUACCGUAGGGAUAACAGCGUUAUUUUUUCAAAGAGUUCUUAUCGAAGAAAAAGUUUGCGACCNCGAUGUUGGAUUAAAGUAACUUUUAAGUGCAGAAGCUUAAAUAGUGGGUCUGUUCGACCCUUAAACCUUU
RNAcentral lists this ribosomal RNA (517 nucleotides) under Mopalia plumosa. RNAcentral describes it as "partial 16S ribosomal RNA". It matches the Rfam family "Bacterial large subunit ribosomal RNA", at positions 1804 to 2597 of the family's 2925-position model. Lineage: Eukaryota; Metazoa; Mollusca; Polyplacophora; Chitonida; Mopaliidae. The record is from RNAcentral.